Cyprinus carpio (common carp) is the source of this 1191-nucleotide long non-coding RNA. NCBI's taxonomy places the organism in Eukaryota, Metazoa, Chordata, Actinopteri, Cypriniformes, Cyprinidae. The record is from Ensembl.
CCUUUGAGGAAAUAAUCGAUAAAGGAGAGAUGGCUUUCAGUUACCGGGACACCAUGGGCAUCGUGAAAAUACACUCUUAAAAAUAAAUGUUCCUAAAGGGUGUUUUUGCAGUGAUGCCAUAGAAGAAUAAUGUUUGGUUCCCAAAAGAACCUUUCAGUGAACAGUUCCUAAAAGAACCAUUUUGAAGCAAAUUUUAAAAAUCUAAAUAACCAUUUUUGACUAUAAAGAGUCUUUUCUGCAUUUGCAAGGUUCCAUAGAUGAUCAAGGUUUUUCAUAUACUGUAACCACUGAUGGCAAUAAAGAACCUUUAUUUUUAAUUAAUUAAGAGUGUAUGUAUAUCUAUAGGGACAUAUUACAAAAAUCUGGAUGAAGCCGUUUGUCUUCUUCAGGCUUGGUAGAGCAUGAGAAAAGGAGGUGGUAGAAUGGGACGAGGAGUGAGAGAAAGGGCAGGUGCUUUUGUUAGGGAGUGCCCAAUAGAACAGCAGAGGGCAGGGCUGGUCAGAGGAGAGACAUGGAUGUCCAGAGAAUAAAUAAAAGCCUGGCGGGUAAAUUGGCCAGUGGUGCUGCUUUCAACUGAGGCUGCUUGACUCUCACUUCACCUGUGUGCAUUUUUAGCUAUUUGCUAAUAUCAAGUCUAUCUGUCUGUCUGUCUGUUUGUCUGCCAAUAUGCUGGUUCGGGCGAUCCUGCAGACCUCACUGGUCCUGUGGCUGGUACAGAGCACCAUACAAGGAGGAGUUAGGCCACAGACUGGAGCCCUGGGAAAUUUGGCGAGUCGAGGUUAUUUGCACUUUUUCAUUUCUGUGUAUAUAUAGUGUAUUUGUGAGAUAUUAUAGAGGGUUAGAGGUCAGAACAUUACAUCACAUAAUGAGUUUCUUUGUCAAUCCGGCGUUCUAUCUUUUCUCUGUAGGUCCUGGUAUUGGUGUAAAGUCUGGAGGUAAGUCUGUCUGCUUGAACCUGAUGGAUGCUGAUGAAUCCAAUUAGCAAUUUGCUUAUGUGAGUACAAAGGUUAUCUCAUCUUUCUUUGAUUUCUGUACUGUCCUAGGUCCAGUGGCUGGUAUCCUCGGAGUCCGUGGCUAUGGGGCAGGCAAGCCAGGAAAAACAGGUUGUAAGUGACAUUAACCUCUGAUGAAGCUGAGAUGAAAAUAAGUAUAAACAAUAAAUAAAGAUUUACAAUUAACCUUUGACUAAAC